AAAUGGCUUACGAAGGUAUCCUCUUGGGCAUGGGCAAUCCUCUCCUCGACAUUUCUGCUGUUGUCGAUGAAGAUUUCCUCAACAAAUAUGAGAUCAAGCUAAACAAUGCUAUCCUUGCUGAAGACAAGCACUUGCCAAUGUACGAAGAAAUGGCUAGCAAAUACAAUGUAGAAUAUAUUGCUGGAGGUGCUACCCAAAAUUCAAUAAGAGUUGCUCAGUGGAUGCUUCAAAUUCCUGGUGCAACAAGUUAUAUGGGCUGUAUUGGAAAGGAUAAGUUUGGAGAGGAGAUGAAGAAAAACUCAAAGCAAGCUGGUGUCAAUGUUCAUUAUUAUGAGGAUGAGACUGCCCCAACUGGGACAUGUGCUGUUUGUGUUGUUGGUGGUGAGAGAUCACUUAUCGCAAAUUUGUCAGCUGCAAAUUGUUACAAAUCUGAGCAUUUGAAGAGACCAGAAAAUUGGGCGUUAGGUACUUAACUCAGUUCUUUCUUGCUUCUUCUACCGAGUUGCUUUUCAGGCUUCCUGUUACUCUAAUCUGUAAAACAAUUCCAUUUAAACAGUUGAGAAAGCAAAAUAUUUUUACAUUGCUGGAUUUUUCCUUACUGUCUCUCCUGAGUCAAUUCAACUUGUUGCUGAACAUGCAGCUGCACACAACAAGGUCUUCUCAAUGAAUCUUUCUGCUCCAUUCAUUUGUGAGUUCUUCAAGGACGCCCAGGAGAAAGUUCUACCGUAAGAUCUCUGCCUCCAUCUUUGCUCAUGGUGUCUGUUUGUAGUUCAUUACUUAUAUGCUUUUUAAUUGCAGGUAUAUGGACUAUGUCUUUGGAAAUGAGACUGAAGCCAGAACCUUUGCGAAGGUUCAUGGUUGGGAGGUAACUCCCCCCCUCCACUUCCCUUCCCUUCCGUCCCCUUCCCUCCCCUCCCCACCCCACUUUCUUUAUGUUUGCAUUGAUUAAUUAGAGAACUCCAUGCUGUUGUUACCCAUGGAAUUACUUCACUGGAUUUUCUCUGUUUGUCAGACUGAUAAUGUUGAGGAGAUUGCUUUAAAGAUCUCUCAGUGGCACAAAGCAUCAGGGACACACAAAAGAAUUACUGUUAUCACGCAAGGUGCUGAUCCUGUUGUGGUUGCUGAGGAUGGGAAAGUGAAAUUAUUCCCUGUGGUAUUGUUACCCAAGGAAAAGCUGGUAGAUACGAAUGGGGCAGGUGUGUUCUCUUCCAUCUUCAAGUAAUCUAGUAAAAAUCAAGUAUAAAAGGAGAUCUUUGAAAUGCUUGCGUUGAUUGAAUUUCAUAUUAUUUAAAGUUAGUUCCUGUUGUGCAUUUAUGCUGCUGUGUUUUACUGAUUGAGAAUGAUUGAUUGUUAGCAAUUUCAGAUUUGCUGUUAUUGAUACUGAAAUAAUUUAAAUUAGUCUGUGCAUCUAAGUUGGUUAGUUUUAUGUGCUAUAUUGUCAAUUCUAGCUGCCAACUGCCCUUACAAUAUACAUGAGAAAAUCCUUGGUGCACUUGUUAGUGAUAAGAAAUUUCUAAAAGUAAACAUCGUUAUAGGCAGUGAUCUAUGCUGCCAUUAGUUUCACUAGUGCUGCAGCAAACUUCUUUCAUGCAUAAGAACAAUAAAUUGAUUAAGAACUCUUGUAGUUGGGAUAAUAUCUCUUUCUUCUCCAACAAAUCAUAGAAAAAACUCUCUUUUGGCAGGGGAUGCAUUUGUUGGUGGAUUUUUGUCACAUCUAGUGCAAGAGAAGCCUAUUGAAGAGUGUGUGAGAGCUGGAUGCUAUGCAGCAAAUGUGAUCAUCCAGAGGUCAGGUUGCACAUAUCCAGAGAAGCCUGAUUUCAGUUAGGCUCAUGAUCGCCGGCCUCUCCUUUGGAAAUUUUAUAUUCAUCUUAAGAGCAUGGUCAUUUUAAACUUUAUUGCAGUUAUUUGCUCCUGAACCGAUAUAUUUUGGUAGAGGAGAUGUUUGUUUGUUUCCGAUAUUGUAUGAUUGUAUGUGCUUAGGCAUCCUUGUUCCCUACAUGGAUGAGGAUAUUUGGGGUCUUUGUCCACCAAAACAGUUUUUUCAUUCAUUUCUGAAUGGAGAACUGCUUUUGGUUGGGAUGAGUAUGAUAAUUAGAUGUUCAAUUCAGUUGUUUAGGUUAUAUUUCACUUAAAUCUCUUUCUUUUCCGAUUAAUCAGAUCUAACAAUACUUG
RNAcentral lists this unclassified non-coding RNA (2172 nucleotides) under Hevea brasiliensis (rubber tree). Lineage: Eukaryota; Viridiplantae; Streptophyta; Magnoliopsida; Malpighiales; Euphorbiaceae. The record is from RNAcentral.